Molecule: ribosomal RNA, 2112 nt
Filed under: Triticum aestivum (bread wheat)
Lineage: Eukaryota; Viridiplantae; Streptophyta; Magnoliopsida; Poales; Poaceae
Description: partial small subunit ribosomal RNA
Source: RNAcentral
AUGAUGGAAAGAGAGGACAGAUAUGUUAGAUUUCAGGACUGGAGAUCAGAGCAAUCUGUUAACUCAGAGAACACAGUUUCACCACGCAGACAUAGUGUAUUUAGAUCACUUAAAGAAAGAACUGGUGGAUUAUUUGCAUUCCUUGGAAACUUAUUCCAUUUUAAAACCUUGAAGAGAUCAAUGCUGGAAGACUGGAAGUCCACGCAAAAUGUUUUUCACCCACAAGGACCAUUUCUGCAAAGAUGGAACAAGAUAUUUGUGUUAUCAUGUAUUUUUGCAGUCUCUGUGGACCCAUUGUUCCUCUAUAUCCCGGUUAUCAGUGAUAAAAAUCCUUGCUGGUAUUUGGAUAGGAAGAUGAAAAUCAUUGCAAGUGUCCUGCGCUCUUUCACAGAUAUAUUUUAUGUACUCCAUAUCAUAUUCCAGUUUCGGACAGGCUUUAUCACGUCUUCCUCUACAAAUUUUGGUAGGGGUGUAUUGGUUGAGGAUAGAUAUGCUAUAGCAAAGCGGUAUCUGUCAACAUAUUUUCUGAUUGAUGUCUGUGCUGUUCUACCCCUCCCUCAGGUGAUCAUUUUGGUCGUUCUGCCUCCUCUUCAGGGCUCAAAGUUCAUGAAAGCGAAAAACAUCUUGAUGAUUAUAGUUAUAUGCCAAUAUGUACCUCGGCUAAUCCGAAUAAGGCCAUUAUAUCUUCAAAUCACUAGAUCUGCUGGGAUAAUUACAGAGACAGCAUGGGCUGGUGCUGCCUUCAAUCUAAUAAUUUACAUGCUUGCUAGUCAUGUCCUUGGAGCAGUUUGGUACUUGCUUUCUAUUCAACGCAAAGAUGCCUGCUGGAAACAGAAAUGUAGUCUAAAUCCUGACUGUAACCCUGCAUAUCUAUACUGUGGGAAUGGUAAUACGAAUGCUGAAAAUGUUUUCUUACGGAGUGUUUGCAAUCCAAGUAUAACCACAGACAAUCUUCCAGACCCACUCUUUGGAAUCUAUCUGCCAGCUAUAAAUAAUGUUUCGCAAUCAACAAAUUUCUUCGCAAAAUUAUUUUACUGUGUCUGGUGGGGUCUGCAAAAUCUCAGUUCGCUUGGCCAAAACCUCAAAACAAGCACUUAUGCUUGGGAGAAUUUGUUUGCAGUUUUUGUCUCAAUAUCCGGCUUAGUUCUGUUUUCACUUCUGAUCGGUAAUAUGCAGACCUAUUUGCAGUCAGCUACUCUGAGAAUAGAAGAAACGAGAGUGAAAAGCCGCGACACAGAUCAAUGGAUGUCAUAUCGGCUUCUUCCUGAUAACCUCAAGGAGCGAAUACGGCGUUAUGAACAAUAUAGAUGGCAAGAGACAAGCGGGGUUGAUGAAGAGCACCUCCUGAUGAACCUCCCCAAGGAUCUUAGAAGGGCUAUAAAACGACAUCUUUGUUUAUCACUUCUCAAGAGGGUUCCAAUGUUUGAAAAAAUGGAUGAUCAGCUCUUGAAUGCCUUGUGCGACUGCCUAAAGCCUGUUUUGUACACAGAAGGUGGCUGCAUCGUUCGUGAGGGGGAUCCAGUAAAUGAAAUGUUCUUUAUCACGAGAGGAAACCUCAUGAGCAUGACGACAAACGGUGGGAAAACUGGCUUCUUCAACUCUGAUGUUCUGAAAAGCGGAGAUUUCUGUGGUGAGGAGCUUCUUACCUGGGCUCUUGAUCCCAACUCAGCAACCAGUCUCCCCAUCUCAACCAGGACAGUGAAGUCAAUGUCUGAAGUCGAAGCUUUUGCUUUGAUGGCUGAAGACCUGAAGUUUGUGGCCACACAGUUUCGACGGCUACACAGCAAACAGCUCCGGCACACCUUCAGGUUCUAUUCGCAGCAGUGGAGAACUUGGGCCGCUUGUUUCAUACAAGCGGCCUGGCACAGGCGCUGCAGAAAGAAGAUGGAAGAUGCUCUGCGCGAGAAGGAGGAAAGGCUGCAACUCGCGAUUGUGAAUGACGGUUCCACUCCGCUCAGCUUCGGUGCGGCAAUAUACGCUUCACGUUUUGCUCGCAACAUGAUGCGGAUCUUGAGGAGAAAUGCCACCCGGAAGGCCCGGCUGCAGGAAAGGGUGCCCGCAAGGCUGUUGCAGAAGCCAGCAGAACCCAACUUUUCUGCAGAGGAGCAGUAG